GGCUCGAGUGGUGGCCACUAUUACUGGGGCUUAAAGCGUUCGUAGCUGGUUUGUUAAGUCUCUGGGGAAAUCUUCCGGCUUAACCGGAAGGCGUCUCAGGGAUACUGGCAGACUAGGGUCCGGAAGAGGUGAGAGGUACUCCAGGGGUAGGAGUGAAAUCCUGUAAUCCUUGGGGGACCACCUGUGGCGAAGGCGUCUCACCAGGACGGCUCCGACAGUGAGGGACGAAAGCUGGGGGAGCAAACCGGAUUAGAUACCCGGGUAGUCCCAGCCGUAAACGAUGUGCAUUAGGUGUAUCGGUGACCACGAGUCACCGAGGUGCCGAAGAGAAAUCGUGAAAUGCACCGCCUGGGAAGUACGGUCGCAAGGCUGAAACUAAAAGGAAUUGGCGGG
RNAcentral lists this ribosomal RNA (393 nucleotides) under uncultured Methanomicrobiaceae archaeon. RNAcentral's name for it is "bacterial SSU rRNA". It matches the Rfam family "Archaeal small subunit ribosomal RNA", at positions 481 to 872 of the family's 1478-position model. The record is from RNAcentral. Lineage: Archaea; Methanobacteriati; Methanobacteriota; Methanomicrobia; Methanomicrobiales; Methanomicrobiaceae.